AAUCAUAUCUCAUCAUAUCUCUGCAUGCAUAAUCUAGUCCCCAAAGGACAAAAGCGCCCAAGCACACGGCCCAAAGCCUCUAUGUGUACUCAGACGGGCCCCAAAGGCCUCCUUACAAUCAGAGCGCGCACCUCCCUUAUUACCCCUCAGUUUGGCGGGCCUCCCUUAUUACCCCUCAUCUAUAUCACUGUACUCAUAUUCACAUACCUCUUUACCACAUUUUAAAUCAUACCACAUUUGAAUCCACUUUUCUUAACUUUCAAAUAAUAUCACACUUUAUUCAAAAUCGAUACGCAAAAUUAUUAACCAAACAUUUUCAUAUAAUAUCAACAAGUGAAUAAAAUCCAUUUCGAGAAAUCAUUAAAUCAGCACAUUUAAAAAUACUUAUUCCGCAACCAUGCUUUACUAUCAUAAUUAACUCUAAAAAUAAGUUUCGUAUAUUCCACUCACAGUGACGGUGUUCACAGUCGGUUAUCGUCUACGUCCGCGGACCGGUUCUCGCUCGCGGAUCCUCCUAAAUCAAGGAAACGACAUAAUUAUUCUCCGUAAAUCGGAAUUCCGACUAAAUAUAUGCAAUAACUCGAAACGAACAUUUAUCCAUAAUUAACAACUCCCGUGACGAUAAAAUUACUAAAAUGCCCUUGAGUCCGUAAAUCAUUAACAUGCUCCGAAAUCAUAAAUCACCGAAUUAUCCUCGAAAUCGUAAUUACACCCAAUUCACAAUUCUAUGCAUUACUAAAAUAUCCACAGGCUCAGAAAUGACAAAAUUGCCCUCAUAGUGUGAAAUUACCAAAAUGCCCUUGCCGGUCAACGGUCACCGGAAUUUGGUCAACGCUGGCCAGGAAGCUCAAAUCUUAAAGUGCCAAUCACGCUGAGUUCAAUGGUACCGGCGGUGAGCUCCAACGCGCGGCAACGACGCCGGAAUCUAGCUCGACAGCCGUGAGUUCCAACAAUCGACCGGCAGCAAAACGACGACUCUCGGUGCCUAUGAAUGGUCGGAAAUGGAAGAGGGAGUCAUGAGGAACAAAAUCCAACCGGUGGUGUCACUCAAAACCGGCGAAAAUCUCGGCGGAGUAAAGUGAAGCAGUCGCGGGUUUCAAGCUUCGAUCGCCGGCGUUCCGGUUCGUUUUCGGCAGUGAGGAUGGCAGGGGAACGACGGUCGGCUUCUAAGCUUCAGAUCGGUACCAAGCUCGGCCAAAACGGUGGUCGGAAACGUGAAAUCCGUCCGGGUUAAAGUCGCGGGUCGGGUCGGAUCCGGCGGGUCAAGAUCGGGUAAGUUGGCAGCUUCUCUCUCUCUGUUUUGCACGUGCAUGUGUUUUUCCUCUGUUUCCAACAUAUUCCUUUGCUUAUAAACUCUUUCACCGCCUCAUGCCAUUUUACAUUCACAGGUAUUACAAU
Molecule: long non-coding RNA, 1398 nt
Filed under: Citrus x clementina
Lineage: Eukaryota; Viridiplantae; Streptophyta; Magnoliopsida; Sapindales; Rutaceae
Description: Citrus clementina (C. clementina) long non-coding RNA (CCLE_LNC001664)
Source: RNAcentral